Magnolia sinica is the source of this 84-nucleotide small nucleolar RNA. RefSeq annotates it as small nucleolar RNA R16. The transcript has a single exon. The record is from RefSeq and is a predicted model, not a curated record. Lineage: Eukaryota; Viridiplantae; Streptophyta; Magnoliopsida; Magnoliales; Magnoliaceae.
GGAGGCAAGUGAUGAUACACAAUCUUAUCCUACACACCGAAUUGUCAUGUGGACUACAAACUGCGCUUAUUAUCUGAUGCCUUC